UGGGGAAUAUUGCACAAUGGGCGCAAGCCUGAUGCAGCGACGCCGCGUGAGGGAAGAAGGUUUUCGGAUUGUAAACCUCUGUUAAGUGGGAAAAAAUCCCGACGGUUAAUACCCGGUCGGGGAUGAUGGUACCACUAGAGAAAGUACCGGCAAACUUCGUGCCAGCAGCCGCGGUAAUACGAAGGGUACGAGCGUUAUUCGGAGUUACUGGGCGUAAAGAGCGUGUAGGCGGUUAGUUAAGUUAGUUGUUAAAUUCCCCGGCCUAACUGGGGACGUGCGGCUAAUACUGGCUAGCUAGAGUACAAGAGAGAGAAGUAGAAUUCCCGGAGUAGCGGUAAAAUGCGUAGAUCUCGGGAGGAAUACCGAUGGCGAAGGCAGCUUCUUGGCUUGUAACUGACGCUAAAGCGCGAAAGCGUGGGGAGCAAACAGG
RNAcentral lists this ribosomal RNA (430 nucleotides) under uncultured bacterium. RNAcentral's name for it is "bacterial SSU rRNA". It matches the Rfam family "Bacterial small subunit ribosomal RNA", at positions 355 to 776 of the family's 1533-position model. The record is from RNAcentral.